Drosophila sulfurigaster albostrigata is the source of this 416-nucleotide long non-coding RNA. RefSeq lists it as uncharacterized. Lineage: Eukaryota; Metazoa; Arthropoda; Insecta; Diptera; Drosophilidae. The record is from RefSeq and is a predicted model, not a curated record. The transcript is spliced from 3 exons.
CCUUCUCCUUUUAUUUCCAAAAAAUUUCCUACACUUAUAUGGCCCAAUCGUUCAUGCCACAAUCGAUACUCAGCACUAUUUGGGAUUCUAGACAAUCCAGUAAAAACCAAUACACCGUUUUUCGAAACUCUUAUGCCUUCAGGGUUGAACUCUAUGGUCAUCCCAGCAUCCUGCAUCUUUUUGACCGAGAGCAGAUUGUGAGGAAUAUCCUUACAAUACAGUACGUUUUGUAGGGUGAUUUGGUUUCCAGAGCUGCCACAUUCGAUUGCAAACGCUCAUAGUCGGAGAAUAAAGCUGCGUCAUUUAUGAGAUGAUCCGAUGCUCCUGAGUCUAGGAUAAACUCAACCUCAUCCGUGCUCGGGCGUGAUGUUGCAUUUGUCAUCAUAAAAGCGAAACUACGCUCCGGCUGUGCUACC